UGGCCUGCGACAUGGACCUGGCCAAA
This 26-nucleotide non-coding RNA is filed under the name Homo sapiens (human). The record is from RNAcentral. Lineage: Eukaryota; Metazoa; Chordata; Mammalia; Primates; Hominidae.